RNAcentral lists this non-coding RNA (779 nucleotides) under Tirumala limniace. Lineage: Eukaryota; Metazoa; Arthropoda; Insecta; Lepidoptera; Nymphalidae. The record is from RNAcentral.
AAUAGAUAAUAAAUAAUUAUGUUUAAAAAAAUUUAUUGAAAGUUUAUUUUAUAUAUAAAUUUUAGUGUUAAUUUUUUAUUAUUUUAAUAAUAAUAAUUUAAAAAUUGUAGUAAAUAAAAUUAAAAAUUUAAGAAAUUAAGAUUUAGUAAUACAAAAAUUAAUAACAAAUUUUGUGCCAGCAGUUGCGGUUAUACAAAAGUUAAAUUAAAUUAUUUCAGUUUAUAAAUAAUAAAUUUAAAUUAAAAUAAAUAUUGAAUUAUAAGGUGAAAUUUUAAUUCAAUUAAAUUUUAUAUAAAAAUUAUGUUUUAAUAAAUUUUAUUUUAAACUAGGAUUAGAUACCCUAUUAUUAAAAAUUUAAAUUAUAAUACUAAAAUAGUAAAUAAUUAUUUAUUGAAACUUAAAUAAUAUGGCGGUAUUUUAGUUCAUUUAGAGGAAUCUGUUUAAUAAUUGAUAAUCCACGAAUAAAUUUACUUAAUUUAAUAUUUUAUAUAUCGUUGUUAAAAAAUAUUUUUUAUAAAAAAUAAUAUUUAAAAAUUUAAAUAAAAAAUUAAUUCAGAUCAAGAUGUAGAUUAUAAUUAAGAAUAUAAUGGAUUACAAUAAAAUUAUUUAAAUGAAUAUGAAAUUGAAAAAUUUUAUUGAAGGUGGAUUUAAAUGUAAUUUUAUUUAAUUUAAUAAAAUGAUUAAAAAUUAAAAUAUGUACAUAUUGCCCGUCACUUUCAUUUAAAAAUUGAAAUAAGUCGUAACAAAGUAGAGGUACUGGAAAGUGUUUCUAGAAAGAA